RNAcentral lists this long non-coding RNA (859 nucleotides) under Homo sapiens (human). RNAcentral's name for it is "HSALNT0285412". Lineage: Eukaryota; Metazoa; Chordata; Mammalia; Primates; Hominidae. The record is from RNAcentral.
UCAGGAUACUAGAGAGGAUCCUCUCCAGCCUUGGAAGAAGAAUGUUCCAAAGAGAACAGUUCUGGAGGCUGGGAAGUCUAACAGUGAGGAGCUGCAUCUGAUGAGGACCUUCUUGCUGCAUCAUCCCAUGGUGGGAAGGCAGAAAGACACAAGAGCACACACAAGUGAGAAGAAGGCUGAACUCAUCCUUUUAUCAGGAACCCACUCCUGUGAUAAUGACAUUAAUCCAUUCAUGAGGACAGAGCCCUCAUGACCUAAUCACUUCUUAAAGGUCUCACCUCUCAGCACUGUUGCACUGGGGAUUAAGUUUCCAACAUGUGAACUUUGGAGGAUAUAUUCAAGCCAUAGCACCACCAAAGUGAUGUCACUGAAUGCAGAGUUAAGAAGAGAUACACAGGAUUAGCUCUAACAAAAUGAUGUGAGCCAGCCAGAUCUCUGAUAAGAAAUGUAAUCUAUGCAAAAAAGAAGACAAAAUUAAAAGGAUAAUGAACAAUAUCUUCCAAUUGUGAAGGGCUGUCAUAAAAGAGGCCCUGGGAUUCUGAAGGAGGGAACCUGAGACUGUGUCAACCCGAGAGACGGAGAUAUUUCCAAGCCCAGCAGAAAAGGAAGCCUCUCUCCAAGGAUACAAAAUCUAUGGCAGUCCUGACCUGGAAAUCUCGAGGAGGCCUCCCUGCCCCUACUGCCUUUUAGCCUGCCUUGCUUGCCUUGGCCAUUUUAAGUGCAGAUGAAGGCAAUGGAAUUGCAAAGCAAUGGAGGAAGAGGAAAGGAAAGACAGAGACUGUGCCAAUAAAAUAUUACUAUAAAAAUUUAACCGAAAACAAGACUGUCCUGAGAUUUUGCCCUGGUCUUAUAGCAUCUG